UGGCCGCCACAAAUAGUUCUUCACGAUCAUCAUCUGAUUCACCUGUGAAAUCUAAAGAUCCACUACUAACCAGUGGCCCAACACGAGCUAAAGACUUCCGUUCUUUCACCUUUUUCGACCUUUUUCGAAGGUGGACGACCAGUUUUGCUUUUAUUCUUAUCAGAAGCAGGUUUCACACUCUGAAUUGGCCUUGUAGUUGGUAGAUUCUCUAAUUUGUCUCUCACUGAAUGAAUGGCUGGCUUUGUUAGAGAUGAAACCCUUUACUCCUUCCUUGUCUCCUCACACCAUCUCCAAUCUCAUUAGCGGGCAAUUUAUUCUUCCGAGCAGGCAACAGACAAGCCCUACUGUCUAUUCCUUUAUCUUUUGUUUUAUUCUC
RNAcentral lists this unclassified non-coding RNA (376 nucleotides) under Hevea brasiliensis (rubber tree). The record is from RNAcentral. Lineage: Eukaryota; Viridiplantae; Streptophyta; Magnoliopsida; Malpighiales; Euphorbiaceae.